AUUGAACGCUGGCGGCAGGCUUAACACAUGCAAGUCGAGCGGUAACAGAGAGUAGCUUGCUACUUUGCUGACGAGCGGCGGACGGGUGAGUAAUGCUUGGGAAUAUGCCUUUGAGUGGGGGACAACAGUUGGAAACGACUGCUAAUACCGCAUAACGUCUACGGACCAAAGGGGGGGAUCUUCGGACCUCUCGCUCAUUGAUUAGCCCAAGUGAGAUUAGCUAGUUGGUAAGGUAAUGGCUUACCAAGGCGACGAUCUCUAGCUGGUUUGAGAGGAUGAUCAGCCACACUGGGACUGAGACACGGCCCAGACUCCUACGGGAGGCAGCAGUGGGGAAUAUUGCACAAUGGGCGAAAGCCUGAUGCAGCCAUGCCGCGUGUGUGAAGAAGGCCUUCGGGUUGUAAAGCACUUUCAGUUGUGAGGAAAGGAAUGUAGUUAAUAGCUGCAUUCUGUGACGUUAACAACAGAAGAAGCACCGCUAACUU
This 485-nucleotide ribosomal RNA is filed under the name uncultured bacterium. RNAcentral's name for it is "bacterial SSU rRNA". It matches the Rfam family "Bacterial small subunit ribosomal RNA", at positions 30 to 503 of the family's 1533-position model. The record is from RNAcentral.